Molecule: ribosomal RNA, 468 nt
Filed under: uncultured bacterium
Lineage: Bacteria
Description: partial 16S ribosomal RNA
Rfam family: Bacterial small subunit ribosomal RNA
Source: RNAcentral
GACGAACGCUGGCGGCGUGCUUAACACAUGCAAGUCGAACGGAAAGGCCCUGCUUUUGUGGGGUGCUCGAGUGGCGAACGGGUGAGUAACACGUGAGUAACCUGCCCUUGACUUUGGGAUAACUUCAGGAAACUGGGGCUAAUACCGGAUAGGAGCUCCUGCUGCAUGGUGGGGGUUGGAAAGUUUCGGCGGUUGGGGAUGGACUCGCGGCUUAUCAGCUUGUUGGUGGGGUAGUGGCUUACCAAGGCCUUGACGGGUAGCCGGCCUGAGAGGGUGACCGGCCACAUUAGGACUGAGAUACGGCCCAGACUCCUACGGGAGGCAGCAGUGGGGAAUAUUGCACAAUGGGCGGAAGCCUGAUGCAGCGACGCCGCGUGCGGGAUAACGGCCUUCGGGUUGUAAACCGCUUUCGCCUGUGACGAAGCGUGAGUGACGGUAAUGGGUAAAGAAGCACCGGCUAACUACGUG